Small nuclear RNA from Anneissia japonica, 114 nucleotides. RefSeq annotates it as U5 spliceosomal RNA. Lineage: Eukaryota; Metazoa; Echinodermata; Crinoidea; Comatulida; Comatulidae. The transcript has a single exon. The record is from RefSeq and is a predicted model, not a curated record.
UAGCUCUGGUUUCUCUGCAUCACUUAUAAAUCUUUCGCCUUUUACUAAAGAUAUUCUUGCAUAGGAACUUUACUGAGUUUUAUUCUAUAUUUCAUGAAUUACCAUGAGGCAAAA